UUUUCCGGUUGAUCCUGCCGGAGGCCACUGCUAUUGGGAUCCGACUAAGCCAUGCGAGUCGAGAGGGUUCGGCCCUCGGCAGACGGCUCAGUAACACGUGGAUAAUCUACCCUUAGGUGGAGGAUAACCUCGGGAAACUGAGAAUAAUACUCCAUAGGUCUAGAAUGCUGGAAUGCAUCUAGGCUGAAAGUUCAGGCGCCUUAGGAUGAGUCUGCGGACUAUCAGGUAGUAGUCAGGGUAAUGACCUGACUAGCCUACGACGGAUACGGGUUGUGAGAGCAAUUGCCCGGAGACGAUAUCUGAGACACGAUAUCGGGCCCUACGGGGCGCAGCAGGCGCGAAACCUUCACACUGUGCGAGAGCACGAUGAGGGGAUCCCAAGUGCUUGCUCGUAAGAGUAAGCUGUUUUUAUGUCUAAAAAGCAUAGAGAGUAAGGGCUGGGUAAGACGGGUGCCAGCCGCCGCGGUAAUACCUGCAGCUCAAGUAGUGACCGCUAUUAUUGGGCCUAAAACGUUCGUAGCCGGUUUGGUAAAUGCCUGGGUAAAUCGUGUAGCUUAACUAUACGAAUUCCGGGUAGACUGUUAAGCUUGAGACCGGGAGAAGUUAGAGGUACUCCUGGGGUAGAGGUGAAAUUCUGUAAUCCUAGGGGGACCACCAGUGGCGAAGGCGUCUGACUAGAACGGGUCUGACGGUGAGGGACGAAGCCCUGGGGCGCAAACGGGAUUAGAUACCCCGGUAGUCCAGGGUGUAAACGCUGCUUGCUUGAUGUUAGUCGGGCUCCGAGCCCGAUUAGUGUCGGAGAGAAGUUGUUAAGCAAGCUGCCUGGGAAGUACGGUCGCAAGACUGAAACUUAAAGGAAUCGGCGGGGGAGCAC
This 874-nucleotide ribosomal RNA is filed under the name uncultured archaeon. Its description in RNAcentral is "bacterial SSU rRNA". It matches the Rfam family "Archaeal small subunit ribosomal RNA", at positions 1 to 879 of the family's 1478-position model. The record is from RNAcentral.